GCUUGUGGGUGGAAAGGAUUGGAGAAACACGGUGAAAUGCUGCUGGGUUCUUCCCCUCUUCCUGACAAGGUGAGGGUUGGACCGGGGCAGUGUGAGGAGGAGGAGGAGGAAGAGGAGGAGGAAGACCACCUCAUGGUGGAGAACUCACCGAGGACAGUGUGUGCAGAGGACGUGCGCGGUGUGAGCUUGGUUCAGUGCCUGCAAUCAAUACCAGCUUGCUCAGGAGAAGAGCCACCACUUUCCAGUCAAGAGCUCCUCCUGCCAGGAUAAAAGCUUCCAGCGUGGGAGCGAGGAAUCAGCUCUCUCCUCUCCUGCGAUGCCUGGGGCCGGUGUUGGGAGCCCACAUCGGCUUUCGUGUGGGGAUGGGGGUGGCCGAGGCUUUGCCUGGGGGGCAAGUAGGGGCUGACAAUGCACCGAAGCACUCACACGCCCCCAACGCCGACCGUCACAAAGGGUUAAGUUGCUGCGAUGGAGCUGGGUAAAUCAGGCAGGAAAAUAAUCAGCUCCCAACUGGAGUGGGGAGAUGCUCAGUAUUUUACAGCUUCUUUCAUACACUUUAUAGAAACUAAUGGUUACACAAAUAAUACCUAGGGGAUGAUAACGGGCCAUAAAUAAUUCAGGGUUCUCCGGCACGGAGCUGCUGCGUGCGGGUUUGAGGAGCUCACGGGUGGCUGGGGAGGGGUUGGGGCUGGGUGUCCCCAAAAGAGACACCGGGGAAGGGUCCCCUCUCAGCCCUCUCCCUGCAUUUUCCCCGCCUUUCCGGAUUGGCUCUGCUUUGGAAAAAGCAGUUUCUCUGCUUUUUUUUUUUUUUUUGCUUUUCACCAGCUCCCCUGGUCCCUGUGGAGGUUGCUGGCGAUGCCCUUCCCAUGGGGCUGGGAGAAACUGGAGGUUUCCCAUCCGUGCUGUGACCCCGAGGAAUGGAUGUGUCUCCCUCUGAGCUGAGCAUCUCAGGAGAGCGGCCGCCUCCCCUAAGCCAUGGGUGAUGGCCAGGCACGCAGGGAAACGGCUCUGCACCACUUUUCACCACUAUUUGAGGUUGGUUUUUUUGUUUUUGUUUUUUUUUUUUUGAGAGCCGUUGUGCAGAAUUCCCCAUCUGCGGAUGUCGCGGUUUCAGUCUGACUCUGCCACUAAAUAUUUUGACAGCCUCUUUUCUCACAGCCCGC
RNAcentral lists this long non-coding RNA (1163 nucleotides) under Calidris pygmaea (Spoon-billed sandpiper). RNAcentral describes it as "lncRNA (ENSCPGG00000012898.1)". The record is from RNAcentral. Lineage: Eukaryota; Metazoa; Chordata; Aves; Charadriiformes; Scolopacidae.